Molecule: long non-coding RNA, 1044 nt
Organism: Micropterus salmoides (largemouth bass)
Lineage: Eukaryota; Metazoa; Chordata; Actinopteri; Centrarchiformes; Centrarchidae
Exons: 2
Source: RefSeq, a predicted model, not a curated record
GACUUUUAAUGGAUGACAACAGUUUCAUUAUCUUCCUCAAGGACAUUUUAGCAGUCUGGAGGAAGGGGUGGAAACCAUGGUCUUUUGUUUAUGCCACAGACAUUGUAACCACGGAGUCAAUCUGUCAUCCUUUCCCUGUCUUGUGUUUUGUUUCACGUACCUGGCCAGGUUUUCCGCUGUACAUACGCUCUCCUCUAUUAUAGCGUAACAAUAGCCCGGGGGCUAGAUUCCAGUUUCUGUUGUCCUGAUGGAGUGGACAGCAGCACAGCUUGUGUUUAUCAUUUCCAAUGCAGCCAGCCACUGAGCAGAUAUUAGCCUGGCCUUAUCAGCAGGAGCCACAAAGAGCUGAGGGUGAAGUGGAGCGGAUGCUGAGAGAACAGCUCCUCUGGGAAUCAACUAAUGAUUGUCCCCGCUGAUGGAGCCUGACGCUGGGCCUGAGGUGCCUCCACAACAACAUCUCUGUAGAGGACAGCAACCAUGGUGGAAGAACAUUGGUGGAUUGAAAAUGAAGCUGGCUUCAAGGUCUCCAAAUCAGAUUGGCUGGGAUAGAUCAGAGUUGCAGACAUGAAAGAUUUUUCAUGAUUAUUUAAGGUAGUUAUUUUCUUUUGGAUUGUUUAUCAGGUAAAGGCAUUGUAUAUGAUGCAAGAUAAAACUUUCAGUGAUGUUGGUUGCCAAUGUAAACACCAUUGCAUAUUGUAGUAUAGCAUCAGCACUGAUCACUGAUGUGAUUGCAAAGAGUAACAACAUUGUAUGCUUGUGUAGAAUAGAGCCAUACUAUUCAGCAACCCUCUGCUUAUUUCCAUGGCAAGGAACCCACCCAAUCUCACCUGAUCUUACUUACUCCUAAUCAAUGGUCUAUUUUAUAAGCUCCACCCAUUUCCUUUGUUCUGGCUGGCAGCAAUACAAACCACAUGUGAGGGCCCUCUGUCUCUGUCAUUCAGAUACACAUCUAUGGUUGUGCGUGAUAAAAAAACCAUAACCGUCAAGCCUCAUCAUCUCCUGUUGCUCAUGUGUGAAUAGUGGCAAUAAAUGGCUUAAACGGAA